Molecule: long non-coding RNA, 608 nt
Organism: Coffea eugenioides
Lineage: Eukaryota; Viridiplantae; Streptophyta; Magnoliopsida; Gentianales; Rubiaceae
Exons: 2
Source: RefSeq, a predicted model, not a curated record
UCCUUCGUUUUCCUGUCCCAUAGCCGUCACCCCGCAGCCGCACCCCAAUCCCCGCAGCUGCCAUUCUCAUCGCCAGGUGCCAUCCACAGCCGCAGCCGCAGCAGCAACGGCCAGGCGCUUCCUCUGAUUUCUGUCAACUCUUUUUCCCUUCCACAGCCGCAGUUGCAGCCGCAGCCGCACCCACCGUCACUGACUCACCAUACGGAGCACCCUCCAUUCUCGCCACCGUCACUGCUCGUGAAUUCGUGAGCAGCGCCGUACGGAGCCACCUCGGUAGAGCCAGGGGCCUCUACCAUACCCCAAUUCACUGCAUUCUGAGUGUAGUUGGGCUGCAUGUUUUGCAUUUUGCAGUGAAGAUGAUGGCUUCUGAAAACUCAUUGAAUUGCUCUUGGUAGUCCCCUGUGAUCAUAUGAAGGAAAUGCUACAUAUUUGUAAUCUGAUGUGGUUUGGACAUUGUAAUCCGAGUUUGGACAUUUUGGUUUGGAAAUGUUGUUAUCUAAUCUGUUUUGGAUAUUUUGGUCACUGAUAUGUUGUAAUCUGAUGUGGUUUGGACAUUGUAAUCCGAGUUUGGACAUUUUAUUUCUCCAUUUGAUGGUUUUUGGCUUGUA